AGAGUUUGAUCCUGGCUCAGGAUGAACGCUAGCUACAGGCUUAACACAUGCAAGUCGAGGGGAAACGAUAGAGAAAGCUUGCUUUUUCUAGGCGUCGACCGGCGCACGGGUGAGUAACGCGUAUCCAACCUGCCCACCACUUGGGGAUAACCUUGCGAAAGUAAGACUAAUACCCAAUGAUAUCUCUAGAAGACAUCUGAAGGAGAUUAAAGAUUUAUCGGUGAUGGAUGGGGAUGCGUCUGAUUAGCUUGUUGGCGGGGUAACGGCCCACCAAGGCGACGAUCAGUAGGGGUUCUGAGAGGAAGGUCCCCCACAUUGGAACUGAGACACGGUCCAAACUCCUACGGGAGGCAGCAGUGAGGAAUAUUGGUCAAUGGACGAGAGUCUGAACCAGCCAAGUAGCGUGCAGGAUGACGGCCCUAUGGGUUGUAAACUGCUUUUAUAAGGGAAUAAAGUGAGAGUCGUGACUCUUUUUGCAUGUACCUUAUGAAUAAGGACCGGCUAAUUCCGUGCCAGCAGCCGCGGUAAUACGGAAGGUCCGGGCGUUAUCCGGAUUUAUUGGGUUUAAAGGGAGCGUAGGCCGGAGAUUAAGCGUGUUGUGAAAUGUAGAUGCUCAACAUCUGCACUGCAGCGCGAACUGGUUUCCUUGAGUACGCACAAAGUGGGCGGAAUUCGUGGUGUAGCGGUGAAAUGCUUAGAUAUCACGAAGAACUCCGAUUGCGAAGGCAGCUCACUGGAGCGCAACUGACGCUGAAGCUCGAAAGUGCGGGUAUCGAACAGGAUUAGAUACCCUGGUAGUCCGCACGGUAAACGAUGGAUGCCCGCUGUUGGUCUGAAUAGGUCAGCGGCCAAGCGAA
This 857-nucleotide ribosomal RNA is filed under the name uncultured bacterium. RNAcentral's name for it is "bacterial SSU rRNA". It matches the Rfam family "Bacterial small subunit ribosomal RNA", at positions 8 to 855 of the family's 1533-position model. The record is from RNAcentral.